RNAcentral lists this ribosomal RNA (322 nucleotides) under uncultured Enterobacteriaceae bacterium. RNAcentral's name for it is "bacterial SSU rRNA". It matches the Rfam family "Bacterial small subunit ribosomal RNA", at positions 355 to 655 of the family's 1533-position model. Lineage: Bacteria; Pseudomonadati; Pseudomonadota; Gammaproteobacteria; Enterobacterales; Enterobacteriaceae. The record is from RNAcentral.
UGGGAAGUAUUGCAUCAAUGGCAGGCAAGCCAUGACUGCAGCCAUGCCGCGCUGUAUGAAGAAGGCCAAUUCGGGGCUUUGGUUAAAGAUACUUUUCAGCGAGGAGGAAGGCGUUGUGGUUAAUAACCGCAGCGAUUGACGUUACUCGCAGAAGAAGCACCGGCUAACUCCGUGCCAGCAGCCGCGGUAAUACGGAGGGUGCAAGCGUUAAUCGGAAUUACUGGGCGUAAAGCGCACGCAGGCGGUCUGUCAAGUCGGAUGUGAAAUCCCCGGGCUCAACCUGGGAACUGCAUCCGAAACUGGCAGGCUAGAGUCUUGUAGA